CAGAACCACCCAGAGUCUGAUGUUGGAGUCCAACAGAAGCUCCGGUUCGGCCAUUCUCUCUGGAGGAAGACACAGCAGAGCCAGAUGAUUUAAAGAAACUAAGAAGGGGGCAGCAUGGAAAAAGUAGCAGAUGAUGAGGGAGAAACACCGGAGCAGGAGAAGAUGCUUUUGUGUCACCUGCUGUGUCACCAGCAGUCCCCCGUAAAAGAGGCUCUUCUUCGUCACAAGUGUCUCUCUGACCUCCACAAGGAUGCACCAUGCCCAGCGCCUUCACACUUGUGAACGUCUCCUCAGUUUUCAGCGUGGCUCCGGCUCAGCUUACCACAAUUUGUGUCAGUUGACUAAGCCGUUUUACGUAACAGCUCAGCACCCAAUAACAAAGAGUAAAGAUGGCCUGUUUUUUUUGUUUUUUUUCUUUUUAAAUAUGUAUCCUAAAUGCAUAGACUUGGUGUAUCAAUACACCAACAUCCUGGUAUUUCUUAAUCUUAGAACAUGCCUGUCUGUAACAGCUACUUCACAGUUUGAGGUCUUAUGCAGAACAGAUGUUGUGUCCUUGCUUUUGGCAUUCAUCACCACGCAGCCAUGGAGCUGGUCGAACGACCCAAAAAUCCUGCUGUUGCCUUGCAGUGUUAUGCGUUGUUUCUCUGCUUACGUUUCACCUUGUGAAUUGUAAAACAAUGAAGCUUCUCUAGGUGGAACCCUGUGUGUUCUUCUCUCAUAUUUUUGUCGAAAGGUUAUACACCGACUGCGCAAACUGUUUUUGUUGUUUUCCCAUUUUACAGAUCUACUUUGUUUUGACUGUAUUGAAAGAAACACAAAUAUUCUGAUGCUUUGCUCCAAAUGACCUUUGGUACCUUUUUUUUCUUCAGGAGUACUUGAUAUUCUUCAUUGGCGUAUCAGUAUUAAUUAGGCCAUUAAGCCUGAAAUAACUUUCUGUGCACCUGGGACAAGUGAAGUGAUGCAAAAUAUUUUUUUUUAUUAUUCAGCGUUUCAAAGAGGACUGUAGUGUCUAUUAUUAUUAAAUUACUUGCCGUUAUUCUGUCUG
Molecule: long non-coding RNA, 1045 nt
Organism: Poecilia latipinna (sailfin molly)
Lineage: Eukaryota; Metazoa; Chordata; Actinopteri; Cyprinodontiformes; Poeciliidae
Exons: 3
Source: RefSeq, a predicted model, not a curated record